AUAUCUUUUAGGACCUUUAUCUAAAUGUCCAAAUGAAAUCAGAAGACUGAUGAAAAAUUUACAUAAUUAUUUUGUAGUUGAAUUAUAUGGUAACUUGUGUACAAAUUUUAUCAUACACUAAUGUAAAUAUGUAUGUUAUAAAAUACAUUAUAUAAUUUCUGGCAGUAACUAGAAUCACAUUCCCAAUUUGCAUCAGUAGGU
RNAcentral lists this unclassified non-coding RNA (201 nucleotides) under Hevea brasiliensis (rubber tree). Lineage: Eukaryota; Viridiplantae; Streptophyta; Magnoliopsida; Malpighiales; Euphorbiaceae. The record is from RNAcentral.